RNAcentral lists this transfer RNA (129 nucleotides) under Acidovorax soli. RNAcentral describes it as "tRNA-OTHER". It matches the Rfam family "transfer-messenger RNA", at positions 236 to 374 of the family's 374-position model. From Rfam's summary of the family: Bacterial tmRNA, also known as 10Sa RNA or SsrA, is named for its dual tRNA and mRNA-like properties. Its role is to liberate the mRNA from a stalled ribosome. To accomplish this part of the tmRNA is used as a reading frame that ends in a translation stop signal. The record is from RNAcentral. Lineage: Bacteria; Pseudomonadati; Pseudomonadota; Betaproteobacteria; Burkholderiales; Comamonadaceae.
GGGUACUGGCGGCCGGUGUAGCGUGCGACUGCGCGACACAGGCGGCGAGAUCCAAAACAGACCGCUAAACAUGUAGAUCUGCCUGGUGAAGGCUUGCGGACGCGGGUUCAAUUCCCGCCAGCUCCACCA